This 930-nucleotide small RNA is filed under the name Spisula solidissima (Atlantic surf clam). RNAcentral describes it as "cnRNA305". The record is from RNAcentral. Lineage: Eukaryota; Metazoa; Mollusca; Bivalvia; Venerida; Mactridae.
CUUGAGCAGCCUGUAUGUGUCAAAUAUGUGGUCUUAUCCAGUGAAUUCCUUGAGCAGCCUGCAUGUCAAAUAUGUGGUGUUAUCCAGGGUAUUCCUUGUGUAGUUUAUGUGUCAAAUAUGUGGUGUUAUCCAGGGUAUUCCUUGUGUAGCUUAUGUGUCAAAUAUGUGGUGUUAUCCAGGGAAUUCCUUGUGUAGCUAAUGUGUCAAAUAUGUGGUGUUAUCCAGGGUAUUCCUUGUGUAGCUUAUGUGUCAAAUAUGUGGUGUUAUCCAGGGUAUACCUUGUGUAGCUUAUGUGUCAAAUAUGUGGUGUUAUCCAGGGUAUUCCUUGUGUAGCUUAUGUGUCAAAUAUGUGGUGCUAUCCAGUGAAUUUCUUGUGCAACAUGAGUGUGUCAAAUAUUUAGUGUUAUCCAAGGACAGCCUGUAUUUGUCGAACAUGUGGUGUUAUCCAGUGAAUUCCUUGAGCAGCCUGUAUGUGUCAAAUAUGUGGUGUUAUCCAGUGAAUUCCUUGAGCAGCCUGUAUGUGUCAAAUAUGUGGUCUUAUCCAGUGAAGUCCUUGAGCAGACUGUGUGUGUCAAACAUGUGGUGUUAUCCAGUGAAUUCCUUGAGCAGCCUGUAUGUGUCAAAUAUGUGGUGUUAUCCAGUGAAGUCCUUGAGCAGACUGUGUGUGUCAAACAUGUGGUCUUAUCCAGUGAAGUCCUUGAGCAGACUGUGUGUGUCAAAUAUGUGGUGUUAUCCAGUGAAGUCCUUGGGCAGACUGUGUGUGUCAAAUAUGUGGUGUUAUCCAGUGAAGUCCUUGAGCAGACUGUGUGUGUCAAACAUGUGGUGUUAUCCAGUGAAUUCCUUGAGCAGCCUGUGUGUGUCAAAUAUGUGGUGUUAUCCAGGGAAUUCCUUGAGCAGCCUGUAUGUGUCAAAUAUGUGGUCUUAUCCAGU